RNAcentral lists this ribosomal RNA (491 nucleotides) under uncultured bacterium. RNAcentral's name for it is "partial 16S ribosomal RNA". It matches the Rfam family "Bacterial small subunit ribosomal RNA", at positions 28 to 507 of the family's 1533-position model. The record is from RNAcentral.
GAUGAACGCUGGCUACAGGCUUAACACAUGCAAGUCGAGGGGAAACGACGGGGAAGCUUGCUUCCCCGGGCGUCGACCGGCGCACGGGUGAGUAACGCGUAUCCAACCUGCCUCUGACUGAGGGAUAACCCGUCGAAAGUCGGCCUAAUACCUCAUGGCAUCGUCUGCGGGCAUCCAACGACGAUUAAAGAUUUCAUCGGUCAGGGAUGGGGAUGCGUCUGAUUAGCUUGUUGGCGGGGUAACGGCCCACCAAGGCUACGAUCAGUAGGGGUUCUGAGAGGAAGGUCCCCCACAUUGGAACUGAGACCCGGUCCAAACUCCUACGGGAGGCAGCAGUGGGGAAUAUUGGUCAAUGGGCGGGAGCCUGAACCAGCCAAGUGGCGUGCAGGAUGACGGCCCUAUGGGUUGUAAACUGCUUUUAUGCGGGGAUAAAGUGAGGGACGUGUCCUUCAUUGCAGGUACCGCAUGAAUAAGGACCGGCUAAUUCCGUG